CCUACGGGAGGCAGCAGUGAGGAAUAUUGGUCAAUGGACGAGAGUCUGAACCAGCCAAGUAGCGUGAAGGAUGACUGCCCUAUGGGUUGUAAACUUCUUUUAUAUGGGAAUAAAACGUUCCACGUGUGGGAUUUUGUAUGUACCAUAUGAAUAAGGAUCGGCUAACUCCGUGCCAGCAGCCGCGGUACUACGGAGGAUCCGAGCGUUAUCCGGAUUUAUUGGGUUUAAAGGGAGCGUAGGUGGAUUGUUAAGUCAGUUGUGAAAGUUUGCGGCUCAACCGUAAAAUUGCAGUUGAAACUGGCAGUCUUGAGUACAGUAGAGGUGGGCGGAAUUCGUGGUGUAGCGGUGAAAUGCUUAGAUAUCACGAAGAACUCCGAUUGCGAAGGCAGUUCACUGGACUGCAACUGACACUGAGGCUCGAAAGUGUGGGUAUCAAACAGGAUUAGAUACCCCGGUAGUC
This 460-nucleotide ribosomal RNA is filed under the name uncultured bacterium. Its description in RNAcentral is "partial 16S ribosomal RNA". It matches the Rfam family "Bacterial small subunit ribosomal RNA", at positions 338 to 795 of the family's 1533-position model. The record is from RNAcentral.